Molecule: long non-coding RNA, 581 nt
Filed under: Piliocolobus tephrosceles (Ugandan red Colobus)
Lineage: Eukaryota; Metazoa; Chordata; Mammalia; Primates; Cercopithecidae
Description: lncRNA (ENSPTEG00000008319.1)
Source: RNAcentral
GGGCUCAGUAUCUGAAAAAGUGUAUUAAAUAAGAAAUCUAAAAAAACUAUUCUGUCCAUUUUUUAUUUUUAUCGCACUUUUAUUUCUAUCGUAUUAUUAUUUUUUUAUUUAUCUUUUUAUUUAUUUUAUUUUUUUUUUUUUUUUGACAUAUAAAUAGGCACACCGACAAAGGAACAAAUGAAAAUAAUGAAUCCAAAUUAUGCAGAUGUAAAAUUCCCUGAUGUUAAACCAAAGGACUUAAAAAAGGUUUUUCCCAAAAGCACAUCAGAGCAUGCUAUAAAUUUAAUUUCACAAUUUUUAAAAUACGAACCAUUAAAAAGGCUUAAUCCUAUAGAGGCAUUGGCAGAUCCGUUUUUUGACGAGCUACGGGAUAAUCACAUUAAGUAAAAUUUAAUAAUAGUUUAAACAAAUACAUACACAUAUAUGUUUGCACGUUUGUUUAUAUAUAUAUUUUUUUUAUCAUCUAUCCUUUAAAUGUGUACAUAACUAUGCUCUUAUUUAUUUUUGUUUUGCUCUUAAGGUUACCUACAUAUAUCGAAAAAUUGCCAGAGCUGUUUAAUUUUUCGGAGGAAGAAAUAAAA